Molecule: ribosomal RNA, 164 nt
Filed under: Gastrochilus acinacifolius
Lineage: Eukaryota; Viridiplantae; Streptophyta; Magnoliopsida; Asparagales; Orchidaceae
Description: 5.8S ribosomal RNA
Rfam family: 5.8S ribosomal RNA
About the family: 5.8S ribosomal RNA (5.8S rRNA) is a component of the large subunit of the eukaryotic ribosome.
Source: RNAcentral
GACACGACUCUCGACAAUGGAUAUCUCGGCUCUCGCAUCGAUGAAGAGCGCAGCGAAAUGCGAUACGUGGUGCGAAUUGCAGAAUCCCGCGAACCAUCGAGUCUUUGAACGCAAGUUGCGCCCGAGGCCGUUCGGUCGAGGGCACGUCCGCCUGGGCGUCAAGC